RNAcentral lists this ribosomal RNA (586 nucleotides) under uncultured Glomeromycotina. Its description in RNAcentral is "LSU rRNA". It matches the Rfam family "Eukaryotic large subunit ribosomal RNA", at positions 204 to 637 of the family's 3401-position model. The record is from RNAcentral. Lineage: Eukaryota; Fungi; Glomeromycota.
CAUGGAGGGUGAGAAUCCCGUCCGGCUGACCUUCAGGACGUUUUACGAUACGCUCUCAAAGAGUCGAGUUGUUUGGGAUUGCAGCUCAAAAUGGGAGGUAAAUUUCUCCUAAGGCUAAAUACCGGCGAGAGACCGAUAGCGAACAAGUACCGUGAGGGAAAGAUGAAAAGAAUUUUGAAAAGAAAGUCAAACAGUACGUGAAAUUGUUGAAAGGGAAACGAUUGAAGCCAGUCGUACCGACGGGAAUUCAACUUCUCGAGUGCUAAUCGUGGGUGACGUUGAGCCUCACGGCCUUCGUUGCUUGUGUUGUUGGUGCUUUUGUGGUGUACUUUUCCGUAUUGGUAGGUCAGCAUCGAUUUCGAUCGUCAUAAAAUGAUCGGGGGAAUGUAGCUUCGGUCUCGUAUCGGAGUGUUAUAGACCUUGGUAGAUGUGACGAUUGGGAUCGAGGAUUGCAACGAAUACCCUCUGGGCUAUCCGUCUGACCUCUGAAAGUCGCUCGGGUGUCGAAAGCUUGCUUAUGGCUAUUCGAGUUGGCGGUCAAUAGGUUAGAACGUGAUUAUAUUCGUUAAGGAUGUUGACGUAAUGG